RNAcentral lists this ribosomal RNA (510 nucleotides) under uncultured bacterium. RNAcentral's name for it is "bacterial SSU rRNA". It matches the Rfam family "Bacterial small subunit ribosomal RNA", at positions 20 to 518 of the family's 1533-position model. The record is from RNAcentral.
UGGCUCAGGACGAACGCUGGCGGCGUGCCUAACACAUGCAAGUCGAGCGGGGACAUGCGACGGAGCGGAAGUUUUCGGAUGGAAGUGAAGAUGUAUGUUCUAGCGGCGGACGGGUGAGUAACGCGUGAGCAACCUGUCCCUUACAGGGGGAUAACACAGCGAAAGUUGUACUAAUACCGCAUAAGACCACGGUGAGACAUCUCACAGGGGUCAAAGGAGCAAUCCGGUAAGGGGUGGGCUCGCGUCCGAUUAGAUAGUUGGUGAGGUAACGGCCCACCAAGUCGACGAUCGGUAGCCGACCUGAGAGGGUGAUCGGCCACAUUGGGACUGAGACACGGCCCAAACUCCUACGGGAGGCAGCAGUGGGGAAUAUUGGGCAAUGGGGAAACCCUGACCCAGCAACGCCGCGUGAGGGAAGAAGGUUUUCGGAUCGUAAACCUCUGUCCUUGGUGAAGAGUAUGAGACGGUAGCCAAGGAGGAAGCCCCGGCUAACUACGUGCCAGCAGCCGC